Sinocyclocheilus rhinocerous is the source of this 416-nucleotide long non-coding RNA. RefSeq lists it as uncharacterized. The record is from RefSeq and is a predicted model, not a curated record. The transcript has 5 exons. NCBI's taxonomy places the organism in Eukaryota, Metazoa, Chordata, Actinopteri, Cypriniformes, Cyprinidae.
UCAAGCACAGCGUUUCACCACCUGCCCCGUUUGAACAGACAGUGCCACGGCAAAAGAAAUAUUUUACCGAGUUUUGAGCCUACGGUCUUGAAUGUGAUCGGAUAAAGAGACAGUUUACCGCAAAACAAAGAAAAAAAAUGAGGUUGGACAGACAUGCAGAUCGAUCAAACAAUGGGUCUUCAAGGACGUCUUGAUGUGUUGAUCCAGGUGUACUGUGUUGCGGUGGAAUUCACAUCUCCGUCUUCACUCUCAUUUAUGAGACCCCCAUAAAUCCAAGCGUGUUUAUCAUUUCCAUCCAAUCAGGAGACACAUUUAUGAACAGGUACCAAACAGUUUCCUCACAGACUUUGCUUCAGAAUUAAAUAUGGCACCCUCUAACUAACAUCUAUUAAACUGCUGCACUAUGUGCAUGAGUG